UACGUAGGGUGCGAGCGUUAAUCGGAAUUACUGGGCGUAAAGCGUGCGCAGGCGGUUUUGUAAGCCAGAUGUGAAAGCCCCGGGCUCAACCUGGGAAUGGCAUUUGGGACUGCAAGGCUUGAGUGCGGCAGAGGGGGAUGGAAUUCCGCGUGUAGCAGUGAAAUGCGUAGAUAUGCGGAGGAACACCGAUGGCGAAGGCAAUCCCCUGGGCCUGCACUGACGCUCAUGCACGAAAGCGUGGGGAGCAAACAGG
RNAcentral lists this ribosomal RNA (253 nucleotides) under uncultured bacterium. Its description in RNAcentral is "partial 16S ribosomal RNA". It matches the Rfam family "Bacterial small subunit ribosomal RNA", at positions 524 to 776 of the family's 1533-position model. The record is from RNAcentral.